RNAcentral lists this ribosomal RNA (315 nucleotides) under uncultured bacterium. Its description in RNAcentral is "bacterial SSU rRNA". It matches the Rfam family "Bacterial small subunit ribosomal RNA", at positions 191 to 507 of the family's 1533-position model. The record is from RNAcentral.
GUCAUUUCAACUAAAGAUUUAUCGGUAACGGAUGGGGAUGCGUGACAUUAGAUAGUAGGCGGGGUAACGGCCCACCAUGGCGACGAUGUCUAGGGGUUCUGAGAGGAAGGUCCCCCACACUGGAACUGAGACACGGUCCAGACUCCUACGGGAGGCAGCAGUGAGGAAUAUUGGUCAAUGGUCUGACGACUGAACCAGCCAUGCCGCGUGAAGGUGACGGCCCUAUGGGUCUUAAACUUCUUUUGCAAGGGAGCAAUAAGGCGCACGUGUGCGUCGAUGAGAGUACCUUGCGAAUAAGCAUCGGCUAACUCCGUG